UAGUGAUUAAUAUAAAGAAAGUAUUCAUAUCUUAACACCAUAAAAAAAAAAAAAGCAAAACCAGUCAUAGCGAUCUAUGCAACAGUACACGUAUCCAAGUACUCACAACAACAUUAAAUAUACAUGAGCACCAACUUUAGGAGAUCAUUAAGACAUUAACUAUAAAAAUUUUACUAAUUUUGCUUGAUAACUCAAAGCCUAAUACAAGAAAAUAGAAUAUUAAAAAAAAAAAAUUGGAACACAAGACACACAACAACUGCUCCAAAAAUUUCACUUAAUUUUGCUUUAUUACCCAAACCCUUAUUAGAAGAUAAAAGAAUAUUAAAAAAUAGUAAACGAAAUACAAGGUAAUAAUAUUAAUAAUAAAUCUUUCGUCCGGUCCGGUUGCGUGCGCGGAGCGAACCCCGUGUCCUCCGCCCCAUGAUUCUUUCAUCAGAACUUGCGUCCACGGUGCUCUCCUCGUCGCCGCCUUCCGUCACGCCCUUUCCCGGCCAUCGCCUCUCGCGCUCGUUAUCCACCUUCUCUCGUUCUCCCCGCUCUCCUCCAUCCAUCUUCUUCCCUCUCAUUUCCUUCCUAUCCGCCGCCGUACGGCGGACCUCGAUCCGGCGGAAGGAGCCAGGUUGGAGACGCUGAGCAAGGCUCUGCCCAAGAAAUGGUGGAAUCUUUAGGUACGGGUGGUAUGGGACGAGUUUACGACCAUGGCGAUGGAUGCCUCGGUCGGACCCUCUCCGGCGGGCUCCGGCCGUGUCGGUGCCCGGAUUUCGAGGGCAUUAGGGUUGCUCUGGAUCGCGGGUGAGACUCUUGGCCUUGGGUUCUUGUCCUCUGCUUCCAAACCCUACCCUGCUUUUAUAGGCAAUUUCUUGGAUGAUGCAUUUAAUUCCGAAGGUUCGAGACAGUCCCGCGCUCUUGCAUAAGGUUCGAGAUGGUCAUGCUCCGGUGCAUGUAUUAAAUGGUGAAGCUUCGAGAUGGUCGCGCGUUCUUGCACCCCCACCAGAUACCCCAUGCUCCAGCUGUCAGAAGUGAAGUCAUCUUUGAACAUCUGGUACUGAUAACAGGUCUCUGAGCACCAGAUGAACCCAGUUGUUAGACUACAUAAGAGAGGCUGCUGUGAUUGCAACAAGACCAGUCACUGUUUGAUGUUUUAAGAUUGGAAUCACUGUUUCUUCUUGGGAGUCCUGGUUCUUCUACUUGUGAGUGGCGAGCUUGGCAACUGUGACCAGAGACCGAUGAUCAAAGUGAUCGGCUUGCUCUUCACCUUUCCCACUUCCAUGCAUGGCAGUCUCUUGGAUCAUUCCAUCUUCUCAUGCCUUGGUGGCUUUGGGGCUUCAUGAUCGUGGCUUGAUGCCCCCUAUCGUGGCAUUGGGGCAUCACUUGGUUCGUGUUAGUUCUUUGGGUUUGAACAACAGGAAUAGGAUGAAUUUGCAAUCCUCAGAAAUGGAAUUGGUUACCUAUUUCUCUUUUUUCGUCUUCCUUGUUACUAUCAUGACACAGGUACAUUCCUUAUGGAUGCUGUCAAGCUUCUUAUUAUGAUUCAUUUGUCUUCAUAUUUCUUCUUCCCUUCUGAUGUAAUUAUCCAGCUAAUCUUAACUGUUAAUUACUUGCAUUAAUAGGCUCAUAUUAAGUUU
Non-coding RNA from Phoenix dactylifera (date palm), 1625 nucleotides. NCBI's taxonomy places the organism in Eukaryota, Viridiplantae, Streptophyta, Magnoliopsida, Arecales, Arecaceae. The record is from RefSeq and is a predicted model, not a curated record.